Molecule: ribosomal RNA, 253 nt
Filed under: uncultured bacterium
Lineage: Bacteria
Description: partial 16S ribosomal RNA
Rfam family: Bacterial small subunit ribosomal RNA
Source: RNAcentral
UACGGGGGGGGUAAGCGUUGUUCGGAAUUACUGGGCGUAAAGGGCUCGUAGGCGGCCAACUAAGUCAUACGUGAAAUCCCUCAGCUUAACUGGGGAACUGCGUGUGAUACUGGAUGGCUUGGAUUUGGGAGAGGGAUGCGGAAUUCCAGGUGUAGCGGUGAAAUGCGUAGAUAUCAGGAGGAACACCGGUGGCGAAGGCGGAUCUCUGGGCCUUACCUGACGCUCAGGCGCGAAAGCUAGGGGAGCGAACAGG